Molecule: transfer RNA, 73 nt
Organism: Desulfosporosinus sp. Tol-M
Lineage: Bacteria; Bacillati; Bacillota; Clostridia; Eubacteriales; Desulfitobacteriaceae
Rfam family: tRNA
About the family: Transfer RNA (tRNA) molecules are approximately 80 nucleotides in length. Their secondary structure includes four short double-helical elements and three loops (D, anti-codon, and T loops). Further hydrogen bonds mediate the characteristic L-shaped molecular structure. tRNAs have two regions of fundamental functional importance: the anti-codon, which is responsible for specific mRNA codon recognition, and the 3' end, to which the tRNAs corresponding amino acid is attached (by aminoacyl-tRNA synthetases). tRNAs cope with the degeneracy of the genetic code in two manners: having more than one tRNA (with a specific anti-codon) for a particular amino acid; and 'wobble' base-pairing, i.e. permitting non-standard base-pairing at the 3rd anti-codon position.
Source: Rfam
GGGCGAUUAGCUCAGCUGGGAGAGCGCCUGCCUUACAAGCAGGAUGUCGGCGGUUCGAGCCCGUCAUCGCCCA